GCGGUCGUGGUGAAAUUGGUAGACACGCCAGCUUGAGGGGCUGGUGGGCUUUAGCCCGUGACAGUUCAAGUCUGUCCGAUCGCA
This 84-nucleotide transfer RNA is filed under the name Fibrobacterales bacterium. Its description in RNAcentral is "tRNA-Leu". It matches the Rfam family "tRNA". From Rfam's summary of the family: Transfer RNA (tRNA) molecules are approximately 80 nucleotides in length. Their secondary structure includes four short double-helical elements and three loops (D, anti-codon, and T loops). The record is from RNAcentral. Lineage: Bacteria; Pseudomonadati; Fibrobacterota; Fibrobacteria; Fibrobacterales.